Molecule: long non-coding RNA, 260 nt
Filed under: Actinidia chinensis (golden kiwifruit)
Lineage: Eukaryota; Viridiplantae; Streptophyta; Magnoliopsida; Ericales; Actinidiaceae
Description: long non-coding RNA (ACHI_LNC003525)
Source: RNAcentral
AUCAAGCUUCUUCUUCAACCAGUUGAACAUAGGCAAUGAAUCGGUUGAACAUGAUAGUGAGAGUUCAACUAGGUGAGCUUAGUCUGCAACUGAUUGAACAUGGACAAUGAGAUUUUUUUUUUUGCAUAUGAUGUAUAGUGUGAUCCUUCUUUUAUAAAAUUGAGUUAGAGAGGGAUUUCUUGAAAAGAUUUCGCGGUCUUCCAUCGUUGGUUCAUAGUAAGAUGAGAACAGGCAUCUCGAGUCAUCUUUAGUGUGGCAUC